Molecule: small nuclear RNA, 164 nt
Organism: Nycticebus coucang (slow loris)
Lineage: Eukaryota; Metazoa; Chordata; Mammalia; Primates; Lorisidae
Product: U1 spliceosomal RNA
Exons: 1
Source: RefSeq, a predicted model, not a curated record
AUAUUUACCUGGCAAGGGCAAUAACACGAUCACAGAGGUAGUUUUCCGGGGCCAAGGCUUACCCAUUGAACUCCGGGGGUGCUGACUCCUGCAAUUUCCCCAAACAUGGGAAACUCUACUACAUAAUUUGUGCUAGUGGGGGACUGUGUUUCUACUCUCCCCUG